AGUCGAUGAUGUAUGAUUUGUCCGUACCAUCCGAAGAUUUCUUCUAUUAUGAGUAAUCAAAUCUCCUUAUCUGAGGCUU
Molecule: small nucleolar RNA, 79 nt
Filed under: Daucus carota subsp. sativus
Lineage: Eukaryota; Viridiplantae; Streptophyta; Magnoliopsida; Apiales; Apiaceae
Description: snoRNA snoR117
Rfam family: small nucleolar RNA snoR117
Source: Rfam by way of RNAcentral